GUCAGAUAGCACAGUGGUUAGCGCUCCGGAGUCUUAUUCGCAAAAUCACUGGUUCAAGUCUAGUAGAUGACA
This is a non-coding RNA of Gigaspora rosea, 72 nucleotides long. The record is from the annotation of a GenBank genome assembly. NCBI's taxonomy places the organism in Eukaryota, Fungi, Glomeromycota, Glomeromycetes, Diversisporales, Gigasporaceae.